GGAUGGGUGGCCGAGCGGUUUAAGGCACCGGUCUUGAAAACCGGCGACGUGCAAGCGUCCGUGGGUUCGAAUCCCACCCCAUCCGCCA
RNAcentral lists this transfer RNA (88 nucleotides) under Sphingomonas sp. Its description in RNAcentral is "tRNA-Ser". It matches the Rfam family "tRNA". Rfam says of the family: Transfer RNA (tRNA) molecules are approximately 80 nucleotides in length. Their secondary structure includes four short double-helical elements and three loops (D, anti-codon, and T loops). RNAcentral also lists the same sequence under 6 other names. Lineage: Bacteria; Pseudomonadati; Pseudomonadota; Alphaproteobacteria; Sphingomonadales; Sphingomonadaceae. The record is from RNAcentral.